Prosopis cineraria is the source of this 501-nucleotide long non-coding RNA. RefSeq lists it as uncharacterized. Lineage: Eukaryota; Viridiplantae; Streptophyta; Magnoliopsida; Fabales; Fabaceae. The record is from RefSeq and is a predicted model, not a curated record. The transcript has 3 exons.
UUUGACAUUCAAAGCUGAACCAGAAAGGAUUGUGGAUUACAAGGACAAGCAAUUAAGAAACAAGACCAUUAGAUUGGUUAAAGUAAUUUGGAAGGGCACGACUCCAGGUGAUGCUACGUGGGAGACCGAGGACAGUAUGCGACGUGAUUAUCCUCGUCUUUUUGAUUAAAUUGUAUUACUGGUGAAGAUUGUGGUGAGAGAGAAAUUUUAAGGAAUAAUUUAUUGAAAAAGCCACAAGGAGAAGAGCCACGAGUGACACGUGGAGGAGUCCCAGAGGCUUAGUGGUAUAGAUCCACUGUCUCUUUUAGGUAUUUAAUUUAUGAUUUAUAAUGUGUUAUAUUGCCAAUAUUAGGGCUUUUUGUUUAUUGUCAAUUAUAUGAAUAUAUAAAUGUAAUCAUGUCUUUCAAACUAUUUCUAUUUUUGGUACAAUUUGGAUGACUGUAAUUUUAAUAUUUGGUUUACUUUGGAUUGGUUAAAAUGGCAUGAUUAUAAGGUCAAAUA